CUUCUAUACGCCUUCGUAUUCGUUUGAUCUUAAUUAUUCCAGAUGAAAUUACUUAAACUUUUUUAUUAUUAUUUUUUUUCAGGAGCUAAUUUCAUAUUUUCCGAUUUCCACAAGUCCAAAAUACUUACCUUCAACUACCUGAAGAUAGCGAAACACGUGUCGUCUUUUAAUAACUCAUUAGUGAUAAUGAUGUUAUUCUAAUUCAGUUUUAAAUUUAAUUUUUGAUUUUCAUAAAAUAUCAGCCACAUCGAUUAGAUAUAUAGAAACUCUUCGUCAAGCAGGCGAAUUUGGAAGGUCGAUAUUCUCUGCGCUGAAAUGUUUGAUUAGCUCCUGCUAUAACUAUAAAGUUGGCAUUUCGGAUUAAGUAGAAGUCUGCCAGGAAUUUAAAAGUUUUCAUAAUUCAUAUGAGCAAAUUUGUUAAGUAAUAUUUUGUGUUAAUUUAUUUAUUGGACCAAUAUCAAGGAUUCUUAUUAAACUUAUGGUCCAGAUAAAAUUCUGGUCAUUAAUUGUAGACAAUAAGUAAUCUGUGAGAUAAAAUUUAAUAGUUUAAUUUAUUAUCAUCCUUAUUUGUGUUAGGUUUCCAUGCACUGGAUAGGAAUAACAUAAAAAACACAUAAUAAUAUUAUUGAUGCAUGAUCCCUGAGUAUAAAGGAGAAAUAAUAUAUUGGAAAUAACAUUUUAUUCACAACGCACAAUGAAUUUCAACUUGCUGUGGUUUUUUGUAACAAUCAUUUCUGUCAUGGUUUCCGUGAAAGCGGUUGACGCGAAUGCACAAAAUGAACCAGGUGAUGGUCGAGCAAGAAUUUACUUAAGACCGACACCGGGACACUUCUAUGGUUGAGGAGAAAUAUACUUCUUAAUUAUUGUACUAUCACUUCAAUCCUAUUCUCUGAACCUUCAUGUUCCUCUUCCAAGAAUACGCCUUCCAAUCCUGUAUAAAAAUAUUUCUUCCUGACAAUUAACUAGCUUACCCAGCCAAAUUCUUCCGCCUAAAAGAUAUGAAAUAUCAACUGACCGGUUCCUUCUUCCGGCAUACGCCAUAUAAUAUUCGGUACCCCCAAGCCCAAGACACCCUUCUCCUUCAACCCCCACCACAUAAUAAUUUUUUCAAUGUCCAAUAGAACUAAACCUCGUAUCGAAUAAACUCAAAUGCAUAAAGUAA
Molecule: long non-coding RNA, 1162 nt
Organism: Coccinella septempunctata (seven-spotted ladybird)
Lineage: Eukaryota; Metazoa; Arthropoda; Insecta; Coleoptera; Coccinellidae
Exons: 2
Source: RefSeq, a predicted model, not a curated record